Molecule: non-coding RNA, 863 nt
Organism: Salvia hispanica
Lineage: Eukaryota; Viridiplantae; Streptophyta; Magnoliopsida; Lamiales; Lamiaceae
Source: RefSeq, a predicted model, not a curated record
UCCUCUUCCCCUUUCCACGUUGGUUUCGAGUGUUUUUUUUGCAUUUGAAUUUCUCAUUUUGGGCAGUAGCUAUGUUCUAAGUCUCCAAGAUCAAAUCUAGUUGAUUCUAGUAUACAUAGCUCACUGGAUUUGAGCAAAGUCUUCGGUAUUUGACAAUUAUGAUGAGAUUGUAUUAGAUGAUUGCUACUGUUGUUGUUGAGGCUCAUUCUAUGUAAUAUUUGUACAUGCUGGGAAUCUAUUGAGCUCUAAGUUCAUGGCUAAGUGUUGUUGUUAUUCUACAUGAUGCAAAGGGCGUUGUUGGGAUUAUCUAGCUUGAUGAUUCCUCUCGGAUGGGGACCAAUGUCCUGCCUCACAACUCCUCCUUGCUCCUCCUCCACUCCUUGCUGCACUCCUUGAUUUUGAGUGAGUUUGUGGUGUCGAAAAUGAGGGGAGGAGAAGGGAGAUGGGGCUGCUUAUAUAGUGCUCUAUCUUUGGCUGUUUGUGCUUGAAACUUGGAGACAAAGGAUCCUACUUUGGGGCUGCCAGCUCUACCUCUUUUGAGCUUGAUGUUGAUGUCUUUCAUACCUCUUCAGUGCAAGUACAUGGGUUGUCAACACUUGGAGCUUUGUGGAGGUGGAAUCGAGAAGGAUGGAGGAAGAUCUUUCUCAUGUCAUCUCUAUUAUCUACUUUCCCAAAGUAGCUAACAUCACAAUUGUAGACUUGAAAGUCCUAGAAUAAUAGCUUGAAUUUCUUUGUCUAAGUGUGGCUUCUUUUAGGAGUAGACUAGAAUGUAUGUGUGUAGGAAAUCUUCUCAUGUAAGCAUGUACUACUUGUAUUUAAUUCCUCCAAGUAUUUAUCUAAUAGAAGUAUAGCCUUUAUUUUUA